UACGUAGGUGGCAAGCGUUGUCCGGAUUUACUGGGUGUAAAGGGCGUGUAGGCGGGAUGAUAGGUCAGAUGUGAAAUGCCCAGGCUCAACCUGGGAGCUGCAUUUGAAACCAUCGUUCUUGAGUGUCGGAGAGGGAAGCGGAAUUCCUAGUGUAGCGGUGAAAUGCGUAGAUAUUAGGAGGAACACCAGUGGCGAAGGCGGCUUUCUGGACGAUAACUGACGCUGAGGCGCGAAAGCGUGGGGAGCAAACAGG
RNAcentral lists this ribosomal RNA (253 nucleotides) under uncultured bacterium. RNAcentral describes it as "partial 16S ribosomal RNA". It matches the Rfam family "Bacterial small subunit ribosomal RNA", at positions 524 to 776 of the family's 1533-position model. The record is from RNAcentral.